Molecule: ribosomal RNA, 648 nt
Filed under: Triticum aestivum (bread wheat)
Lineage: Eukaryota; Viridiplantae; Streptophyta; Magnoliopsida; Poales; Poaceae
Description: partial small subunit ribosomal RNA
Source: RNAcentral
AUGGUCUGCAACCCCAACUCCAGGGAUGAUGAUGCCGCUGCCACCAUUACCAAGGCGCGCUUGCCUGACAUUUGCCGUGAUUUUAACAUCCUCUUCAAAACUGAGGCGGGUGCUGAUGUGACAUUCGAGGUCGGCGGGGACAAGUUGGCUGCACACCGAUGCGUGCUUGCAGCCCGGUCUAAAGUCUUCAUGGCACAGCUCUUUGGCCCCAUGAAGGAGACAACUGCUCAGACCGGUGUCAUACACAUCAAAGACAUGGAAGCAAGCGUGUUCAGGGCUUUGCUUAGCUUUAUCUACACAGACUCGUUUCCUUUUAUGGAGGAGGACAACGGACAAGAGGUGGAAGCAUCAGAGAAUAACUUGCUGGUAGCGGCUGACAGAUAUGAUGUCCAACGUCUCAAGUGCAUCUGCGAGGAGCAGUUAUCUGAGCACAUAUGUGUCAGGAUGGUGAUGUCCACUCUUGCUCUAGCCGAGCAGCACCACUGCCAGGGAUUGAAGGAGGCGUGCUUCAAGUUUAUCCAAGUCCAAACCCCCUCGUCUUUGCAAGCAGUAAUGGCAACUGAUGGCUGGGAUUAUGUUGUCUCGACCUAUCCCUCGGUUUUGAAGGAGCUCUUUGCCAAGGUUACUGCUUUGAACCAGCAAAAGUAA